This 253-nucleotide ribosomal RNA is filed under the name uncultured bacterium. Its description in RNAcentral is "partial 16S ribosomal RNA". It matches the Rfam family "Bacterial small subunit ribosomal RNA", at positions 524 to 776 of the family's 1533-position model. The record is from RNAcentral.
GACGAAUCGAGCGAACGUUGUUCGGAAUCACUGGGCUUAAAGGGCGCGUAGGCGGGUGCUCAAGUCCGGGGUGAAAUCCCACGGCUCAACCGUGGAACUGCUUGGUAUACUGCUUUUCUUGAGCCACUUAGGGGCAACCGGAACAAACGGUGGAGCGGUGAAAUGCGUAGAUAUCGUUUGGAACGCCAAUGGUGAAAACAGGUUGCUGGGAGUGUGCUGACGCUGAGACACGAAAGCCAGGGGAGCAAACGGG